GUGAACGCUGGCGGUAGGCCUAACACAUGCAAGUCGAACGGCAGCACAGUAAGAGCUUGCUCUUACGGGUGGCGAGUGGCGGACGGGUGAGGAAUACAUCGGAAUCUACUUUUUCGUGGGGGAUAACGUAGGGAAACUUACGCUAAUACCGCAUACGACCUACGGGUGAAAGCAGGGGAUCUUCGGACCUUGCGCGAUUGAAUGAGCCGAUGUCGGAUUAGCUAGUUGGCGGGGUAAAGGCCCACCAAGGCGACGAUCCGUAGCUGGUCUGAGAGGAUGAUCAGCCACACUGGAACUGAGACACGGUCCAGACUCCUACGGGAGGCAGCAGUGGGGAAUAUUGGACAAUGGGCGCAAGCCUGAUCCAGCCAGACCGCGUGGGUGAAGAAGGCCUUCGGGUUGUAAAGCCCUUUUGUUGGGAAAGAAAAGCAGCAGGUUAAUACCCCGCUGUUCUGACGGUACCCAAAGAAUAAGCACCGGCUAACUUCGUG
RNAcentral lists this ribosomal RNA (491 nucleotides) under uncultured bacterium. RNAcentral's name for it is "partial 16S ribosomal RNA". It matches the Rfam family "Bacterial small subunit ribosomal RNA", at positions 29 to 507 of the family's 1533-position model. The record is from RNAcentral.